UUUUUAUCCGUUACUGCAUCAUACUGGGUGUUUUAAAAGUAUUUUUACUGUUGUUUAUACCGUUUUUUCUGUCCUCCUCCCUCUCUUCUCCCUUUUAAUUACUCUACCUUUCUAGAAAACUCACACAUUCACUGUAACUGAAGAAUAUAAUGAGUUUUAUAAUCACCCAAAUUCAAAUCCAAUCUCACUUUACAUGUGCAUACAGUUAUUGCCCUAACUCUCUGCACCAAUGGCACUUCUAUUUGCAGAAAUCUGCCCGCGUGACCCAUGGGGACAGGAAUGAAACCGCCAUUCAUUCAAGAGGGCUUUGCCACCGAGACGCCACCGAGGUGCCACCGCUUCCGAGGCAGAGAGCCGCGGCCGGCUGGACAAAUAACGUGCUUCGUGCUGCUCAGGAGCCAGGUCCAGUUAGCAUAGGAGGGGAGCAGCUCUUUAACAGGCCCUGAAGCUUUAUCAUCAGUAUACCCUUACAGACGGUAUCUUAAAUCACGGCAUGAAAUCGAGCCCGUUCUGUGACUGCUGUCUGUGCGUGAGCCACAUCAGCGGCUGGCAGCCCUCCCGAGCCCUGGCAUCCUUCCUCAGCAGCCUCAAGUCCAAUUAGACUUCACCUCAGGUAACUCUUCAAAAGAAAACUCAAAUAAUCCUGACGUGAUGGGCGACAUGUCAG
RNAcentral lists this long non-coding RNA (667 nucleotides) under Struthio camelus australis. RNAcentral describes it as "lncRNA (ENSSCUG00000011818.1)". The record is from RNAcentral. Lineage: Eukaryota; Metazoa; Chordata; Aves; Struthioniformes; Struthionidae.